Non-coding RNA from Chromobacterium aquaticum, 54 nucleotides. Lineage: Bacteria; Pseudomonadati; Pseudomonadota; Betaproteobacteria; Neisseriales; Chromobacteriaceae. The record is from Rfam.
UUAGAACACCGCCCUUUCACGGCGGUAGCCGGGGUUCGAUUCCCCGUGGGGACG